RNAcentral lists this ribosomal RNA (450 nucleotides) under uncultured bacterium. RNAcentral describes it as "partial 16S ribosomal RNA". It matches the Rfam family "Bacterial small subunit ribosomal RNA", at positions 354 to 796 of the family's 1533-position model. The record is from RNAcentral.
GUGGGGAAUUUUGGACAAUGGGCGCAAGCCUGAUCCAGCAAUGCCGCGUGCAGGAAGAAGGCCUUCGGGUUGUAAACUGCUUUUGUACGGAACGAAACGGUCCGGGUUAAUACCCUGGGCUAAUGACGGUACCGUAAGAAUAAGCACCGGCUAACUACGUGCCAGCAGCCGCGGUAAUACGUAGGGUGCAAGCGUUAAUCGGAAUUACUGGGCGUAAAGCGUGCGCAGGCGGUUUUGUAAGACAGGCGUGAAAUCCCCGGGCUCAACCUGGGAAUUGCGCUGGUGGCUGCAAGGCUGGAGUGCGGCAGAGGGGGAUGGAAUUCCGCGUGUAGCAGUGAAAUGCGUAGAUAUGCGGAGGAACACCGAUGGCGAAGGCAAUCCCCUGGGCCUGCACUGACGCUCAUGCACGAAAGCGUGGGGAGCAAACAGGAUUAGAAACCCCAGUAGUCC